Molecule: ribosomal RNA, 896 nt
Filed under: Papiliotrema terrestris
Lineage: Eukaryota; Fungi; Basidiomycota; Tremellomycetes; Tremellales; Rhynchogastremaceae
Description: LSU rRNA
Rfam family: Eukaryotic large subunit ribosomal RNA
Source: RNAcentral
AUUCCCCUAGUAACGGCGAGUGAACCGGGAAGAGCUCAAAUUUGAAAUCUGGCGUGCUCAGUGCGUCCGAGUUGUAAUCUAUAGAGGCGUUUUCCGUGCCGGACUGUGUCUAAGUCCCUUGGAACAGGGUAUCAAAGAGGGUGAUAAUCCCGUACUUGACACAAUGACCGGUGCUCUGUGAUACGUCUUCUACGAGUCGAGUUGUUUGGGAAUGCAGCUCAAAAUGGGUGGUGAGUUCCAUCUAAAGCUAAAUAUUGGCGAGAGACCGAUAGCGAACAAGUACCGUGAGGGAAAGAUGAAAAGCACUUUGGAAAGAGAGUUAAACAGUACGUGAAAUUGUUGAAAGGGAAACGAUUGAAGUCAGUCGUGACUGAGAGGCUCAGCCGGUUCUGCCGGUGUAUUCCCCUCAGUCGGGUCAACAUCAGUUUUGUUCGGUGGAUAAGGGCAGCUGGAAGGUGGCACCUCCGGGUGUGUUAUAGCCAGCUGUCGCAUACACCGAAUGAGACUGAGGAAUGCAGCUCGCCUUUAUGGCCGGGGUUCGCCCACGUCCGAGCUUAGGAUGUUGACAUAAUGGCUUUAAACGACCCGUCUUGAAACACGGACCAAGGAGUCUAACAUAUCUGCGAGUGUUUGGGUGUCAAACCCAAGCGCGUAAUGAAAGUAAACGUAGGAGGGAUCCGCAAGGAGCACCUUCGACCGAUCUGGAUCUUCUGUGAUGGAUUUGAGUAAGAGCAUAUAUGCUGGGACCCCAAAGAUGGUGAACUAUGCCUGAAUAGGGCGAAGCCAGGGGAAACUCUGGUGGAGGCUCGUAGCGAUCUUACGUGCAAUCGAUCGUCAAAUUUGGGUAUAGGGGCGAAAGACUAAUCAAACCAUCUUGUAGCUGGUUCCUGCCGAAG